RNAcentral lists this ribosomal RNA (484 nucleotides) under uncultured bacterium. Its description in RNAcentral is "partial 16S ribosomal RNA". It matches the Rfam family "Bacterial small subunit ribosomal RNA", at positions 30 to 507 of the family's 1533-position model. The record is from RNAcentral.
AUUGAACGCUGGCGGCAGGCCUAACACAUGCAAGUCGAGCGGACGAAGGGAGCUUGCUCCUGGAUUCAGCGGCGGACGGGUGAGUAAUGCCUAGGAAUCUGCCUGGUAGUGGGGGAUAACGUCCGGAAACGGGCGCUAAUACCGCAUACGUCCUGAGGGAGAAAGUGGGGGAUCUUCGGACCUCACGCUAUCAGAUGAGCCUAGGUCGGAUUAGCUAGUUGGUGGGGUAAAGGCCUACCAAGGCGACGAUCCGUAACUGGUCUGAGAGGAUGAUCAGUCACACUGGAACUGAGACACGGUCCAGACUCCUACGGGAGGCAGCAGUGGGGAAUAUUGGACAAUGGGCGAAAGCCUGAUCCAGCCAUGCCGCGUGUGUGAAGAAGGUCUUCGGAUUGUAAAGCACUUUAAGUUGGGAGGAAGGGCAGUAAGUUAAUACCUUGCUGUUUUGACGUUACCAACAGAAUAAGCACCGGCUAACUUCGUG